This is a long non-coding RNA of Hippocampus comes (tiger tail seahorse), 291 nucleotides long. RefSeq lists it as uncharacterized. The transcript has 2 exons. The record is from RefSeq and is a predicted model, not a curated record. Lineage: Eukaryota; Metazoa; Chordata; Actinopteri; Syngnathiformes; Syngnathidae.
UGUGUGACUGACUCGUGUUUGUCUUGCAGCCUGCAAGUUAAUAUGUCACAAGAAAUGCUUGACCAAAAUCAUCACUGACUGCUCAACACGCUGUGCCCGGCAGGAUGACAGCGUACCCGGUGGCCUUCACUUCGGGGUCCACGUUUGCGUCCUGACCAGCAAGGCCAACCCCGUGCCCAAGGUGGUGGAGCUGCUGCUGAUGCACGUGGAGAUGAACGGCCUCUACACCGAGGGCAUCUAUCGCAAGUCGGGCUCCGCGUGCCGUGCCCGGGAACUCCAUCAAAUCAUGGA